CAGUAGCCGCGGGAAUACGUAGGGUGCAAGCGUUAAUCGGAAUUACUGGGCGUAAAGCGCGCGUAGGUGGUUCGCCAAGUUGGAUGUGAAAUCCCCGGGCUCAACCUGGGAACUGCAUCCAAAACUGGCGAGCUAGAGUAUGGUAGAGGGUGGUGGAAUUUCCUGUGUAGCGGUGAAAUGCGUAGAUAUAGGAAGGAACAUCAGUGGCGAAGGCGACCACCUGGACUGAUACUGACACUGAGGUGCGAAAGCGUGAGGAGCAAACAGGAUUAGAUACCCCAGUAGUCCCUGUCUCUUAUAC
RNAcentral lists this ribosomal RNA (301 nucleotides) under uncultured bacterium. RNAcentral describes it as "partial 16S ribosomal RNA". It matches the Rfam family "Bacterial small subunit ribosomal RNA", at positions 509 to 807 of the family's 1533-position model. The record is from RNAcentral.